Molecule: long non-coding RNA, 856 nt
Organism: Spea bombifrons (plains spadefoot toad)
Lineage: Eukaryota; Metazoa; Chordata; Amphibia; Anura; Pelobatidae
Exons: 2
Source: RefSeq, a predicted model, not a curated record
UAAUUGUGAUUUUGUAGAGGUUUGGAGUCUCUGUAAUGGGCAGAUUUGUAUGAAUUAGGAAGUUGCUGUAGAAACUUCACCCUUUUACAACUGAGCCGAGGACGUGAUGAAACAUGAUUUAAAUCGGACAGAUUGUGGCUACGUUACCCUUCAUCACUUGCGUAGAAACUGGAAUUUGCAUUCAUUAAUGUUGCAUGCAAAUAAGCAAAAUCCACACUUGGAAACUUUCUUAGCUCAUCGUUGACUCAGUUACUUGGGUGGCAUAAGUCAUUCCCAAAAUAAUACCUGAAUAUACUUAAAUGUACAUCUUUUCAAUUUCUAAACACAAUUUACUCAUAUCCGCCAAUCAAUUACAAACAGUUUCCAGAUUUUAUAAAAUGUUCACAUUAUACAGAAUUUACAUGGCUUUAGGCUGUUUAGCUAAAACACAUAAAGACAAAGUCUCCUCCAAACUGAAUUUAAAUAUAUAUUUGAAAAAAAACUUGUGUUGCAUAGUACAUAUUUUUGGUUCAGGGGUCGUCAAGGUAUACGGACACCAGUGGCCCGCCACCACAAUUUGAGCAGGGCCAGCUGGGGACAUCAUGGAUGGCCCAAAAUAAAGGGAGCUCAGCACUUAAGGAGCAAUCACCACGAGGGAGCAGUGAACAGAGGUCUGUAGGAUAAAAGAAAGAUAAUGAGAAUGGGGAGAGAUAAUGAAAAAGAUGGGAGAUAACAGAGGAGGAGAGGUAGAGAGAAAAAAGAGAAGUAGGGAGAAAAAGGGAAACAUAGGGAGAAACAGAGAAGCGGUAAAGAGAAAGGGGAUAGGUGAAGAGAAAGAAGAGGGCAGGUAGGGAGAAAAUAAGGAGGUAAAGAGAAA